This 1788-nucleotide ribosomal RNA is filed under the name Triticum aestivum (bread wheat). RNAcentral's name for it is "partial small subunit ribosomal RNA". The record is from RNAcentral. Lineage: Eukaryota; Viridiplantae; Streptophyta; Magnoliopsida; Poales; Poaceae.
AUGAUAGCGGCGUCCCGGAGAAGGGAGAGGGCGUUGGUGGCGCUCCCCCCUCGUGCCGCUUCCUCCCUCCGGCUCCGCUGCCCGCCACCUCCCGCCCUUUUUAAACCCACCUCCACUGCCAAAUUCGCGUCCGCCACUGUCGCCGCUGCCUAACCAGGCUACAAUCAGACAGUUUCUGGCUACGACACGGCACGACGCGACGCGAGGCUCUCGAGAGCGCGAGCGAGAUCGUCGUCUGCUGCGGCUAGGGAGGUGUCGUCGGUGGUGGUCUGCCUCAUGGGCUCCGCCAUGGACCACGUCGGCGCGGCGGGCGGGAGGGCCAAGAAGGCGUCCGGCGGCUCGCAGCUGUGGAAGAAGGCGCUGCUGCAUUCCAGCCUCUGCUUCGUCAUGGGCUUCUUCACGGGCUUCGCCCCCUCCUCCGUCUCCGACUGGCGGUCCGUCGCGCCCGCCGGGGUGGGGAGCAGCCACGUGGUGAAGACGCCGCAAGUGAUCGCGUCGGGCGCGGCCAUGGACCGGAGCCUGCUGGCGCGGGACGCGGCCGCGAGAAUCGGGGGCGUCCCGCGGCCUCUCCUGGUGGUCGUGACGACGACCGAGUCGACGCCUACGGCGGCCGGCGAGCGGGCGGCGAUGCUGACCAGGAUGGCGCACACCCUGCGGCUCGUGCCGCCGCCGCUGCUGUGGGUGGUGGUGGAGGCCGCCCCCGACGUGCCGGCGACGGCGAAGCUGCUGCGCGACACGGGGAUCCUGUACCGCCACCUGACCUACAAGGAGAACUUCACGGCCGCCGAGGUCGCCGCGGGCAAGGAGCGCCACCACCAGCGCAACACCGCGCUGGAGCACAUCGAGCGGCACCGCCUCGCCGCCAUCGUCCACUUCGCCGGCCUCGGCGACGUCUACGAGCUGCGCUUUUUCGACCAGCUCCGGCAGAUCAGUACAUUCGGUGCGUGGCCGGUGGCGAGGAUGUCGCGGAACGAGCGGAAGGUGGUCAUCCAGGGCCCUGCGUGCAGCUCCUCCAAGGUCCUCGGCUGGUUCUCCAGGGACCUGAUGAGCAACGGCACCGCCGGCACGGGCGGCGGCACGGCGGCGACCUCGCCUGAGAUUGACGUCCACGGCUUCGCCUUCAACAGCUCCGUGCUCUGGGACCCCGAGCGCUGGGGCCGCUACCCGACCUCCGAGCCCGACAAGUCCCAGGACUCGAUGAGGUUUGUGCAGCAAGUGGUGUCGGAGGAUUAUAGCAAGGUGAAGGGCAUUCCUCCAGAUUGCCUGGAGAUCAUGGUGUGGGGCGUCGACACGACGCCGCCGCCGGCCCCGUCUUCCUCGCAACAAACUCCGGGGAAUAAGAGGAGGUAGAUGGGAGAGUUGUAGAAGAGAUCGUCGGAUCCAAGAGCCGAACAAGCUGCUGCCUAUACUGUACAUGCAAGGGUCGCACCAGUAAGGUGUUGAUGCUCCUACUAGCUGCAAACAUAAGAACUUUUUUGGUUUUCGUUAUAGGGGACGGAUCGGCAAGUAUCCUCCCGGGCUUGUACAUCGUACUUACCUUUUCUUUUCUCUUCAACAAACUGUGAUAUAUGCAUACUUUCUUUUCUUUUCUUUUCUUUUCUUUUCCUUUUUUUUUUGUUUCAAGAGGUUUAGGUGAUUACAUGACACCCCUUGAACUGUCUCUAAAGAAUGAAAUGAACAGAAGGCAGACAUAAGCAGAAGAUAUAUCGUUUGCUCUCUACUUUUUUUUUUACAAAAGGGGAUCAUCCCUGGCCUCUGCAUCAUUACGAUGCACACCGGCCAUUUUUC